UACGUAGGGGGCAAGCGUUGUCCGGAUUUAUUGGGCGUAAAGAGCGUGUAGGCGGCUAUACAGGUCCGCUGUGAAAACUCGAGGCUCAACCUCGAGACGUCGGUGGAAACCGUAUGGCUAGAGUCCGGAAGAGGAGAGUGGAAAUUCCUGGUGUAGCGGUGAAAUGCGCAGAUAUCAGGAAGAACACCCGUGGCGAAGGCGGCUCUCUGGGACGGUACUGACGCUGAGACGCGAAAGCGUGGGGAGCGAACAGG
Molecule: ribosomal RNA, 254 nt
Filed under: uncultured bacterium
Lineage: Bacteria
Description: partial 16S ribosomal RNA
Rfam family: Bacterial small subunit ribosomal RNA
Source: RNAcentral